CCUCAGUCCGAGCAGAGCCGACCCUUUCCUUCUGCCAUAGCCGAGCCUCACCCCUUGCAUGAGUUGCUGCCUCGGGUUCUACCGAGCCUUUGGUUUAGGGUCAGUGGUUAAAUCUAGUACCAGCCACAGUUUUGGCAACGGGUGCAUCCUCGACAAAUUAACGACAAAGUAUACGGAUUUGGGACUUUGAUUCGAGACGAGU
Molecule: long non-coding RNA, 202 nt
Organism: Zingiber officinale
Lineage: Eukaryota; Viridiplantae; Streptophyta; Magnoliopsida; Zingiberales; Zingiberaceae
Exons: 3
Source: RefSeq, a predicted model, not a curated record